RNAcentral lists this ribosomal RNA (343 nucleotides) under bacterium STB01. RNAcentral's name for it is "bacterial SSU rRNA". It matches the Rfam family "Bacterial small subunit ribosomal RNA", at positions 108 to 450 of the family's 1533-position model. The record is from RNAcentral.
GCGUAACGCGUAUGCAAUCUGCCUUGUACAGAGGGAUAGCCCAGAGAAAUUUGGAUUAAUACCUCAUAGUAUUAUUGAAUGGCAUCAUUUAAUAAUUAAAGUUCCAACGGUACAAGAUGAGCAUGCGUCCUAUUAGCUAGUUGGUGUGGUAACGGCAUACCAAGGCUACGAUAGGUAGGGGUCCUGAGAGGGAGAUCCCCCACACUGGUACUGAGACACGGACCAGACUCCUACGGGAGGCAGCAGUGAGGAAUAUUGGACAAUGGGCGCAAGCCUGAUCCAGCCAUGCCGCGUGCAGGAAGACGCAUCUAUGGUGUGUAAACUGCUUUUGUACGGGAAGAAA